RNAcentral lists this ribosomal RNA (450 nucleotides) under uncultured Gammaproteobacteria bacterium. RNAcentral's name for it is "bacterial SSU rRNA". It matches the Rfam family "Bacterial small subunit ribosomal RNA", at positions 1071 to 1533 of the family's 1533-position model. The record is from RNAcentral. Lineage: Bacteria; Pseudomonadati; Pseudomonadota; Gammaproteobacteria.
GAGAGUCCGGUUAGUCGGAUACGAGCGCACCUUACCUUAUUUGCCAGCGAUUCGGUCGGGAACUAUAAGGGGACUGCCGGUGAUAAACCGGAGGAAGGUGAGGACGACGUCAAGUCAUCAUGGCCCUUACGCAUAGGGCUACACACGUGCUACAAUGGAGAAUACAGACGGACGCUAAGCCGCGAGGUGGUGCCAAUCCUAGAAAAUUCUUCGUAGUCCGGAUUGGAGUCUGCAACUCGACUCCAUGAAGUCGGAAUCGCUAGUAAUCGCGAAUCAGCAUGUCGCGGUGAAUACGUUCUCGGGUCUUGUACACACCGCCCGUCACACCAUGGGAGUUGGUUCUACCUUAAGGCAAGGUUUUAAACCCUUGACCACGGUAUAGUCAGCGACUGGGGUGAAGUCGUAACAAGGUAGCCGUAGGGGAACCUGCGGCUGGAUUACCUCCUUUCU